RNAcentral lists this ribosomal RNA (304 nucleotides) under uncultured bacterium. RNAcentral's name for it is "partial 16S ribosomal RNA". It matches the Rfam family "Bacterial small subunit ribosomal RNA", at positions 506 to 807 of the family's 1533-position model. The record is from RNAcentral.
CAGCAGCAGCCGCGGUAAUACAGAGGGUGCAAGCGUUAAUCGGAAUUACUGGGCGUAAAGCGCGCGUAGGUGGUUCGCCAAGUUGGAUGUGAAAUCCCCGGGCUCAACCUGGGAACUGCACCCAAAACUGGCGAGCUAGAGUAUGGUAGAGGGUGGUGGAAUUUCCUGUGUAGCGGUGAAAUGCGUAGAUAUAGGAAGGAACAUCAGUGGCGAAGGCGACCACCUGGACUGAUACUGACACUGAGGUGCGAAAGCGUGGGGAGCAAACAGGAUUAGAUACCCCUGUAGUCCCUGUCUCUUAUAC